This 208-nucleotide ribosomal RNA is filed under the name uncultured type II methanotroph. Its description in RNAcentral is "partial 16S ribosomal RNA". It matches the Rfam family "Bacterial small subunit ribosomal RNA", at positions 373 to 601 of the family's 1533-position model. Lineage: Bacteria; Pseudomonadati; Pseudomonadota; Alphaproteobacteria; Hyphomicrobiales; Methylocystaceae. The record is from RNAcentral.
GGCGCAGCUGAUCCAGCCAUGCCGCGUGAGUGAUGAAGGCCCUAGGGUUGUAAACCUCUUUCGCCGGGGACGAUAAUGACGGUACCUGGAUAAAAAGCCCCGGCUAACUUCGUGCCAGCAGCCGCGGUAAUACGAAGGGGGCUAGCGUUGUUCGGAAUCACUGGGCGUAAAGCGCACGUAGGCGGAUCUUUAAGUCAGGGGUGAAAUC